This 301-nucleotide ribosomal RNA is filed under the name uncultured bacterium. RNAcentral's name for it is "partial 16S ribosomal RNA". It matches the Rfam family "Bacterial small subunit ribosomal RNA", at positions 509 to 807 of the family's 1533-position model. The record is from RNAcentral.
CAGUCGCCGCGGGAAUACGUAGGUGGCAAGCGUUGUCCGGAAUUAUUGGGCGUAGAGCGCGCGCAGGUGGUUUAAUAAGUCUGAUGUGAAAGCCCACGGCUCAACCGUGGAGGGUCAUUGGAAACUGUUAAACUUGAGUGCAGGAGAGAAAAGUGGAAUUCCUAGUGUAGCGGUGAAAUGCGUAGAGAUUAGGAGGAACACCAGUGGCGAAGGCGGCUUUUUGGCCUGUAACUGACACUGAGGCGCGAAAGCGUGGGGAGCAAACAGGAUUAGAUACCCCGGUAGUCCCUGUUUCUUAUAC